This 253-nucleotide ribosomal RNA is filed under the name uncultured bacterium. RNAcentral's name for it is "partial 16S ribosomal RNA". It matches the Rfam family "Bacterial small subunit ribosomal RNA", at positions 524 to 776 of the family's 1533-position model. The record is from RNAcentral.
UACGGGGGGGGCAAGCGUUGUUCGGAAUUACUGGGCGUAAAGGGCUCGUAGGUGGCCAACUAAGUCAUACGUGAAAUCCCUCAGCUUAACCUGGGAACUGCGUCUGAUACUGGACGGCUUGAGUAUGGGAGAGGGAUGUAGAAUUCCAGGUGUAGCGGUGAAAUGCGUAGAUAUCUGGAGGAAUACCGGUGGCGAAGGCGGCAUCCUGGACCAUUACUGACGCUGAGGCGCGAAAGCUAGGGGAGCAAACGGG